Molecule: transfer RNA, 73 nt
Filed under: Bacteroidales bacterium
Lineage: Bacteria; Pseudomonadati; Bacteroidota; Bacteroidia; Bacteroidales
Description: tRNA-Trp
Rfam family: tRNA
About the family: Transfer RNA (tRNA) molecules are approximately 80 nucleotides in length.
Source: RNAcentral
GCGGGUGUAGCUCAAUUGGUAGAGUAGUGGUCUCCAAAACCAUUGGUUGGGAGUUCGAGUCUUCCCGCCCGCG